This is a long non-coding RNA of Loxodonta africana (African savanna elephant), 1011 nucleotides long. RefSeq lists it as uncharacterized. The transcript has 2 exons. The record is from RefSeq and is a predicted model, not a curated record. NCBI's taxonomy places the organism in Eukaryota, Metazoa, Chordata, Mammalia, Proboscidea, Elephantidae.
AUACAACUGCUGAAAACUACAGUGAAAAUCUGGGGUGUUAAAACCAGAGAGCUGCUCCGACAUCCAAGCUUUAAGUGUAGGACAAAGUUUCUACAAAUACUAGGAACAAUGCUGAGAAAAAAAGAGAUAUUCCAUAAUAGAGAUGGAUUUGUGUACUAUGAGAAUGAGGCCCCUCCUACUUGAUGUUAUUCAAGUGGGAAUAGGCAAACUGCGAGUCUUCAAAUACACAGCCCAAUAUAAAAUUUGACUGUUCAGGAAUUGUGUGAUCUUGAUAAACUACUUUAUUGCAAGAUUUACCUUGCCAGAUUGUUAUGAAAAUAGGAAAUAUAUGUAAAGGGUCCAAUACAAAGCCCGGCAGAUGGCAGCUUCGUAAACAUGGUAGCUAUAAUUCUUUCUUUUUUUCUUUUAACGUCCCUUAAAGUUGUUUCUGUCAUAUCACUAUUCUAGAUUUCCAAUUCCAGUCAAUCUAAAAUCAUUACAAUUAGUUAGAAAUAUAUGGUCUUCAAACCAUUGCUCUGUAACAAAAGGACAUUAGUCUCACUGCCAGCUCUCUUCCCAAUUCUUCAAAAUACUGGUAAAAACUGUGAACUUCUUGUUAAUGUAGGAAUACUCUAACAACAUGCAACUGUUAAGCCACAAACUUAUUAAGGUAUCUUCUAUAGGGGAUGUGAAAAUACAACAGCUGAGCUCAAUCACCCAAGACUAUAAAAUAUUUACCUCGUAUCUAAGGUCUUCCAAAAAGCAAGAAGAAAACUUACCAAAUAAAAUAAAUAAAUAAAACUCAUUCUAUCUUGCAACUAUCAUUUGGUCCAUUAGACCCUUUUAUAAUAAAACCUAAGAUACACUAUGGGAUUUCAGUGUUCUUACUUUUCCUAUAUCUCAUAAUACUAUUUCAUAAUCUCAUCUUACUAUUUCAUCAAUUACUCAUUAUUACUCAUCAAUUAUUCCAAGCCCUGUUAAACAAUCUUAAAAUAAUUAAGAAAAAAAAAAAAAAAGAUGGAAUCACAUAUA